RNAcentral lists this long non-coding RNA (1758 nucleotides) under Amborella trichopoda. RNAcentral's name for it is "long non-coding RNA (ATRI_LNC004949)". The record is from RNAcentral. Lineage: Eukaryota; Viridiplantae; Streptophyta; Magnoliopsida; Amborellales; Amborellaceae.
AGCCAAGCUUAUAAAAUAGAAAUCAUGCAUCACAAUUAUGUCACAAUUAUAGGAUGAUAUUUUUCAUGGUAGAGCAGGCACAAUAUAAAAUAUCAGAUAUCAUAUACACUAGCAAUUUAUCAAAUUGUAACAUAUCCAUAACAACAAGAGAGCAUAACAAAAUCAACAGACACAACCCACUCUCUAGUCCUAUUCAUUAAGCGACUCCCAUAUCUCGCAAAUCGAUCAUAUAACUCAAGUAAAUCAUAUAUCUCAGGUCAAUCUCAUAACUCAGGUCAAUCACACAUCUCAAGUCAAUUACAUAACUCAGGCGACUACCCAUCUUGGGUAAUGCAAUUUUCAAAAGGCACUGCCGAGAAGUCACAUAUUUCCUCGUACGCACCUCACUGGUGUCAGUCAUGGCCAUGCGAUACGCUCAAAGCAUGUCAAAUAAUCACAUAACAGUCACAGUAUCACAGUAUCCAACUACCAAUGGGUGACCCAUUGCAUAGUGGUCAAUAUCACAUACAUUCACAGUAUGCCAACGGUUACAUAUCACCUCAUACGCACUCAGAAGUCACAUAUUCCAAUACAGUAUACCCCAUUACCAUUGGAGGACCCAUUGCGAGUGGUCAUAUCAUAGAUAUCAGUUUUACAUAUAACAGAGUCAGAAUGCUCACUACCAAUGGAAGACUCAUUGCGUAGCGGUCCCAAAAAUAACAGAAUCACAAUAUUCAUAUAGCAGAAUCAAACCAUAUCAAUGUCACAUAAUGGCCAUAUUAAUAUCACAUAAUAGCAGUAUCAGUAUCACAGAAUAAUAGUAUCCAUAUCACGGAAUAACAAUAUCAGUCUCCCAGAAUACCGGUAUCAGCAUCACAGUUUAACAAAAUCAGAUUCACAGAAUAACAGUGUCCAUAUCACAUAAUAACAGUCUAGAUUCACAAGAUAACGGUGUCCAUAUCACAGAAUGGAUGUUACAGCUGCAAUUUCAAGCCGUGACAUCUGGUCGUAAAUAUGGUCAUAAUUUUUUAUUCAUUUGGAAUUUGAAGACGGUUCCAAAACCAAUUUUACACUAGACACACUAUCUUCAAAUCGGGGUGGAUUGAAAAUAAUUUGAUCUUGUUUGGCCCCUCAAAAGUUCAAAAGAAUGGAGAUAAUUCAUCUAAAAUCUGUUGUACAAUGAAGGCAUUGACAUGUCUUUAAAUUUUACUCCAUAACUCAUAAUCAAGAAGAAAUUCUAAUAAAGUAAUCAACAUGUGAAUUUAAUAUUACUCAUAAACCGUUCAAAUGACAGUGGUUUGAAAAAAAUGGACCCCUUUUGAUCAGUCAAAAUCUAUGGCAACAGAGGCAUAAAUUUUGAGUUUUAUAAAAGUUGUCCAUAGUGAUAUAUUGUUACAAUUAAUCAUAUAACUCUCAAAUUAGGGAGAAUCUCGAAAAGUGCUAAACAUGUGAUCUCAAGCUUACUCAAAAUAUUUCAAACGGCAGUGGUUUGGAAGAAAACGGAUCUUAUUUGGUUGAUCAAAACCCUUAACAUCAGAUACAUCAGUUUUGUGUUUUUACCAAACUAUCCACAGUGAUCUAUUGGCAUGUUUCGAAAUAUAACUUUACAUAAAUAAAGAAUUAGAGCAAGGUGUGAACAUAAACAUUAAAAUAUACUCAGAAAUCUUUCCAAUGGCGGUGAUUUUGUAUCAUUUGGACUCCAAUUGCUAAGUCAAACUCUCAGUAUAACAGAAGUAACAUUCCUAAAAAUUAUCACAGCCUGUUAACAUCGUCAUACAU